ACAAUCGGAUACAGACGGCUGUGGGACAAACGCGCAGCUGGACUACAAGCAGUUAUGAAAGUUUAAGAUCUAGGUGGAGGCUAUGUAGUACCGAGAUCGAGGAGGAUACCUUGAAGGAUGUAGGCUUUAAGUUUCUUGGUGGCAGAGGUAUGCAGAGUGCGAGGUUGAUGCACAGGGCAUGGUGCACAGGAGAUCCACUUUGGCGGCAGUAGAUGUGGAUGCAUCAGAUGCAUGAGCAUGA
Molecule: long non-coding RNA, 241 nt
Filed under: Elaeis guineensis (African oil palm)
Lineage: Eukaryota; Viridiplantae; Streptophyta; Magnoliopsida; Arecales; Arecaceae
Description: long non-coding RNA (EGUI_LNC030540)
Source: RNAcentral